GAGUUUGAUCUUGGCUCAGAUUGAACGCUGGCGGCAGGCCUAACACAUGCAAGUCGGGCGGUAGAGAGAAGCUUGCUUCUCUUGAGAGCGGCGGACGGGUGAGUAAUGCCUAGGAAUCUGCCUGGUAGUGGGGGAUAACGCUCGGAAACGGACGCUAAUACCGCAUACGUCCUACGGGAGAAAGCAGGGGACCUUCGGGCCUUGCGCUAUCAGAUGAGCCUAGGUCGGAUUAGCUAGUUGGUGAGGUAAUGGCUCA
Molecule: ribosomal RNA, 256 nt
Filed under: uncultured bacterium
Lineage: Bacteria
Description: partial 16S ribosomal RNA
Rfam family: Bacterial small subunit ribosomal RNA
Source: RNAcentral